RNAcentral lists this ribosomal RNA (491 nucleotides) under uncultured bacterium. RNAcentral describes it as "partial 16S ribosomal RNA". It matches the Rfam family "Bacterial small subunit ribosomal RNA", at positions 29 to 506 of the family's 1533-position model. The record is from RNAcentral.
AGUGAACGCUGGCGGUAGGCCUAACACAUGCAAGUCGAACGGCAGCACAGUAAGAGCUUGCUCUUACGGGUGGCGAGUGGCGGACGGGUGAGGAAUACAUCGGAAUCUACCUUUUCGUGGGGGAUAACGUAGGGAAACUUACGCUAAUACCGCAUACGACCUACGGGUGAAAGCAGGGGAUCUUCGGACCUUGCGCGAUUGAAUGAGCCGAUGUCGGAUUAGCUAGUUGGCGGGGUAAAGGCCCACCAAGGCGACGAUCCGUAGCUGGUCUGAGAGGAUGAUCAGCCACACUGGAACUGAGACACGGUCCAGACUCCUACGGGAGGCAGCAGUGGGGAAUAUUGGACAAUGGGCGCAAGCCUGAUCCAGCCAUACCGCAUGGGUGAAGAAGGCCUUCGGGUUGUAAAGCCCUUUUGUUGGGAAAGAAAAGCAGCAGGUUAAUACCCCGCUGUUCUGACGGUACCCAAAGAAUAAGCACCGGCUAACUUCGU